This 468-nucleotide ribosomal RNA is filed under the name uncultured bacterium. Its description in RNAcentral is "partial 16S ribosomal RNA". It matches the Rfam family "Bacterial small subunit ribosomal RNA", at positions 28 to 507 of the family's 1533-position model. The record is from RNAcentral.
GACGAACGCUGGCGGCGUGCUUAACACAUGCAAGUCGAACGGAAAGGCCCUGCUUUUGUGGGGUGCUCGAGUGGCGAACGGGUGAGUAACACGUGAGUAACCUGCCCUUGACUUUGGGAUAACUUCAGGAAACUGGGGCUAAUACCGGAUAGGAGCUCCUGCUGCAUGGUGGGGGUUGGAAAGUUUCGGUGGUUGGGGAUGGACUCGCGGCUUAUCAGCUUGUUGGUGGGGUAGUGGCUUACCAAGGCUUUGACGGGUAGCCGGCCUGAGAGGGUGACCGGCCACAUUGGGACUGAGAUACGGCCCAGACUCCUACGGGAGGCAGCAGUGGGGAAUAUUGCACAAUGGGCGGAAGCCUGAUGCAGCAACGCCGCGUGCGGGAUGACGGCCUUCGGGUUGUAAACCGCUUUCGCCUGUGACGAAGCGUGAGUGAUGGUAAUGGGUAAAGAAGCACCGGCUAACUACGUG